RNAcentral lists this ribosomal RNA (277 nucleotides) under uncultured bacterium. RNAcentral describes it as "partial 16S ribosomal RNA". It matches the Rfam family "Bacterial small subunit ribosomal RNA", at positions 1223 to 1500 of the family's 1533-position model. The record is from RNAcentral.
UGCUACAAUGGCGUAACAAAGGGAAGCAGCCCUGUGAAGGUGAGCAAAUCCCAAAAAUAACGUCCCAGUUCGGAUUGUAGUCUGCAACCCGACUACAUGAAGCUGGAAUCGCUAGUAAUCGCGGAUCAGAAUGCCGCGGUGAAUACGUUCCCGGGUCUUGUACACACCGCCCGUCACACCAUGAGAGUCGGGAACACCCGAAGUCCGUAGUCUAACCGCAAGGGGGGCGCGGCCGAAGGUGGGUCCGGUAAUUGGGGUGAAGUCGUAACAAGGUACC